RNAcentral lists this long non-coding RNA (692 nucleotides) under Lactuca sativa (garden lettuce). RNAcentral's name for it is "long non-coding RNA (LSAT_LNC005593)". The record is from RNAcentral. Lineage: Eukaryota; Viridiplantae; Streptophyta; Magnoliopsida; Asterales; Asteraceae.
GGUGGCCCCGCGAUUCUUCCAGGAGUAACUCGUCGGGUCAAGGAGGAUACUCGACGAGUAGAUAGGGAAUCUCAGAGAGUUGGAGGACGUCUAGACUCGCCGAGUCCGGUCGAGUUGACCGUUGACCGUUGACCAGAGUUGACCUAAGUCUGACUUCUUAGGGAUAGUCACACUUAGAAGAUAUAAGUGUGAAUGAGAGAUAUGUGAUGUUAUCGGGAGGUUGUAGCUCGUCGGAUUGUGCACGAGUGAUUUCAGGAUUUGCUAGCUUUCAGCAUUAACGAGGUGAGUCUUCUCACUAUACUGUACCCGGAAGGGUUUGACUGUGUAACCGGAAGGUCAGGUAUGAUGUGUGAUAUGUAUGCUAUAUGUGGUAAGCUGUUUGUUAUAUAUGAUAUGUAUGUUAUGGGCCGGAAGGCAAUAUGUUAUGGGCCGGAAGGCAAUAUGUUAUGGGCCGGAAGGCAAUAUGUUGUGUUAUGGACCGGAAGGUCGGCGUGGGUAGGACCGGAAGGUUUACCCAGCAGGGACGGAAGUCCCCUGAGACACAUGGACCGAUAGGUCAGGGCCUGGAAAGGCGUAUGUGCGUAAGUUGUAUAUCGGGGAACUCACUAAGCAUUAUGCUUACAGUUGUUGUGUAUGUGUUUCAGGUACUAGCAAGGACCGUGGGAAGGCGCCGGCGUGAUCGAUACACGCUG